AUACGGAGGGUGCAAGCGUUGUUCGGAUUUAUUGGGCGUAAAGCGAGUGUAGGCGGUUUGGCAAGUCGAAUGUGAAAUCCCGAGGCCCAACCUCGGAACUGCAUCCGAAACUGUCAGGCUAGAGUCCCGGAGAGGGUGGCGGAAUUCCCGGUGUAGGGGUGAAAUCCGUAGAUAUCGAGAGGAACACCAGUGGCGAAGGCGGCCACCUGGACGGUGACUGACGCUGAGACUCGAAAGUGUGGGUAGCAAACAGGAUUAGAAACCCUAGUAGUCC
This 274-nucleotide ribosomal RNA is filed under the name uncultured bacterium. Its description in RNAcentral is "partial 16S ribosomal RNA". It matches the Rfam family "Bacterial small subunit ribosomal RNA", at positions 523 to 796 of the family's 1533-position model. The record is from RNAcentral.